Molecule: ribosomal RNA, 417 nt
Filed under: uncultured bacterium
Lineage: Bacteria
Description: bacterial SSU rRNA
Rfam family: Bacterial small subunit ribosomal RNA
Source: RNAcentral
UAAUACAUCGGAAUGUACCUAUUAGUGGGGGAUAACGUAGGGAAACCUACGAUAAUACCGCAUACGACCUUAGGGUGAAAGCGGAGGACCUUCGGACUUCGCGCGGAUAGAUGAGCCGAUAUCGGAUUAGCUAGUUGGCGGGGUAAAGGCCCACCAAGGCGACGAUCUGUAGCUGGUCUGAGAGGAUGAUCAGCCACACUGGGACUGAGACACGGUCCAGACUCCUACGGGAGGCAGCAGUGGGGAAUAUUGGACAAUGGGCGCAAGCCUGAUCCAGCCAUGCCGCGUGGAUGAAGAAGGCCUUCGGGUUGUAAAGCCCUUUUGUUGGGGAAGAAAUCCAGUCGGUUAAUACCUGAGUGUUAUGACGGUACCCGAAGAAUAAGCACCGGCUAACUUCGUGCCAGCAGCCGCGGUAAU